RNAcentral lists this ribosomal RNA (253 nucleotides) under uncultured bacterium. RNAcentral describes it as "partial 16S ribosomal RNA". It matches the Rfam family "Bacterial small subunit ribosomal RNA", at positions 524 to 776 of the family's 1533-position model. The record is from RNAcentral.
GACGUAGGGCGCGAGCGUUGUCCGGAUUUAUUGGGCGUAAAGAGCUCGUAGGCGGCUUGUCGCGUCGAAUGUGAAAACUCGGGGCUCAACUCCGAGCUUGCAUUCGAUACGGGCAGGCUAGAGUUCGGUAGGGGAGACUGGAAUUCCUGGUGUAGCGGUGAAAUGCGCAGAUAUCAGGAGGAACACCAAUGGCGAAGGCAGCUCGCUGGAACGGUACUGACGCUGAGGCGCGAAAGCGUGGGGAGCAAACAGG